This 460-nucleotide ribosomal RNA is filed under the name uncultured bacterium. RNAcentral describes it as "partial 16S ribosomal RNA". It matches the Rfam family "Bacterial small subunit ribosomal RNA", at positions 338 to 795 of the family's 1533-position model. The record is from RNAcentral.
CCUACGUGAGGCAGCAGUGAGGAAUAUUGGUCAAUGGGCGCGAGCCUGAACCAGCCAAGUAGCGUGAAGGAUGACUGCCCUACGGGUUGUAAACUUCUUUUAUAAAGGAAUAAAGUGAGGCACGUGUGCCUUUUUGUAUGUACUUUAUGAAUAAGGAUCGGCUAACUCCGUGCCAGCAGCCGCUGUAAUACGGAGGAUCCGAGCGUUAUCCGGAUUUAUUGGGUUUAAAGGGAGCGUAGAUGGGUUGUUAAGUCAGUUGUGAAAGUUUGCGGCUCAACCGUAAAAUUGCAAUUGAUACUGGCAGUCUUGAGUACAGUUGAGGUAGGCGGAAUUCGUGGUGUAGCGGUGAAAUGCUUAGAUAUCACGAAGAACUCCGAUUGCGAAGGCAGCUUACUAAACUGCCACUGACAUUGAUGCUCGAAAGUGUGGGUAUCAAACAGGAUUAGAUACACGUGUAGUC